RNAcentral lists this ribosomal RNA (262 nucleotides) under uncultured bacterium. Its description in RNAcentral is "partial 16S ribosomal RNA". It matches the Rfam family "Bacterial small subunit ribosomal RNA", at positions 91 to 354 of the family's 1533-position model. The record is from RNAcentral.
CUUAGUGGCGGACGGGUGAGUAACGCGUGAGUAACCUGCCUUGGAGUGGGGAAUAACAGUUGGAAACAGCUGCUAAUACCGCAUAACGGGGGAAGCCGCAUGGCUUUUCCCUGAAAACUCCGGUGGUACAGGAUGGGCCCGCGUCUGAUUAGCCAGUUGGCAGGGUAACGGCCUACCAAAGCGACGAUCAGUAGCCGGCCUGAGAGGGCGGACGGCCACACUGGGACUGAGACACGGCCCAGACUCCUACGGAAGGCAGCAG